RNAcentral lists this ribosomal RNA (450 nucleotides) under uncultured bacterium. Its description in RNAcentral is "SSU rRNA". It matches the Rfam family "Bacterial small subunit ribosomal RNA", at positions 26 to 518 of the family's 1533-position model. The record is from RNAcentral.
AGAACGAACGCUGGCGGCAUGCCUAACACAUGCAAGUCGAACGAGAUCCUUCGGGGUCUAGUGGCGCACGGGUGCGUAACGCGUGGGAAUCUGCCCUUAGGUACGGAAUAACUCAGGGAAACUUGUGCUAAUACCGUAUGAUGUCUUCGGACCAAAGAUUUAUCGCCUAGGGAUGAGCCCGCGUAGGAUUAGCUAGUUGGUGGGGUAAAGGCCUACCAAGGCUACGAUCCUUAGCUGGUCUGAGAGGAUGAUCAGCCACACUGGGACUGAGACACGGCCCAGACUCCUACGGGAGGCAGCAGUGGGGAAUAUUGGACAAUGGGCGAAAGCCUGAUCCAGCAAUGCCGCGUGAGUGAAGAAGGCCUUCGGGUUGUAAAGCUCUUUUACCCGGGAAGAUAAUGACUGUACCGGGAGAAGUAACGCCCGGACUAACUCCGCGCCAGCAGCCGC